AUUGAACGCUGGCGGCAGGCCUAACACAUGCAAGUCGAACGGUAACAGGGAUCAGCUUGCUGAUUCGCUGACGAGUGGCGGACAGGUGAGUAAUGUCUGGGAAACUGCCUGAUGGAGGGGGAUAACUACUGGAAACGGUAGCUAAUACCGCAUAACGUCGCAAGACCAAAGAGGGGGACCUUCGGGCCUCUUGCCAUCGGAUGUGCCCAGAUGGGAUUAGCUAGUAGGUGGGGUAACGGCUCACCUAGGCGACGAUCCCUAGCUGGUCUGAGAGGAUGACCAGCCACACUGGAACUGAGACACGGUCCAGACUCCUACGGGAGGCAGCAGUGGGGAAUAUUGCACAAUGGGCGCAAGCCUGAUGCAGCCAUGCCGCGUGUAUGAAGAAGGCCUUCGGGUUGUAAAGUACUUUCAGCGGGGAGGAAGGGAGUAAAGUUAAUACCUUUGCUCAUUGACGUUACCCGCAGAAGAAGCACCGGCUAACUCCGUG
RNAcentral lists this ribosomal RNA (490 nucleotides) under uncultured bacterium. Its description in RNAcentral is "partial 16S ribosomal RNA". It matches the Rfam family "Bacterial small subunit ribosomal RNA", at positions 30 to 507 of the family's 1533-position model. The record is from RNAcentral.